RNAcentral lists this long non-coding RNA (1656 nucleotides) under Gossypium barbadense (sea-island cotton). Its description in RNAcentral is "long non-coding RNA (GBAR_LNC013137)". Lineage: Eukaryota; Viridiplantae; Streptophyta; Magnoliopsida; Malvales; Malvaceae. The record is from RNAcentral.
GCUCUGAUGUCUUGACAGUUGAUCUGUUUUCCUUGUAAGCAUUUGGUUGGCAACACAUGCGUGUUUACAUGUGUGUGCAUGUAUUCUUGGCCAUAUCUAGUUUUUGGUAUCAUCAUAUAACAUGAGCUCACUCUAGAAAGUUUUCCCUUGCCGUCAAGGCAUAACUGUAUCGAAGCCAAUCUGAGUGCUUUUUCCAUGCGAAAAGCAGUAUAGUGACCUUGAUAAUCUAGACUUGCAAAAAUGCAAUUAUAAAAUAGGGAGCCAUGCCACUAAGGCCUUGGCUCUGUUCGCAAGUCUUGAGGUCUUUGCCUUUGAGUGCCCAAGUUCAAGUCCCACCCUCCUGAAAAUUAUGUGUGGGUUGGUUAGUUUGUUGAAUUGAAUUUUUAGUUAGUUAGUUUGAAUUGAGUUUAGUCAUUCAAUUCAGUAGUUGUAAUGAAUGAUUCUUAUUGGAACUGUUGGUGGGAUUGUUAGAGGGUCCUAGUUUUGUUCAUGUUGGAAAUAGGUAAUUACCUCUGAACUAAUAGUUAAUGAAGCAUUUUACCCUUUCUUAACUCUUGAAAUUUGAGAUUUUCUCAGUAAAUAGUAAGAUAAAGUCUGCAUUUUUAAUGAUGGCAAGUUUUGUAAAUAUCAAAAUCCUCAAAAGUUAAUAAAACACUACAAUCUAGACUCGAUCUAUAUAGUUUGUUGCCUGUUAGACUAUAUCAUAUGUACCAAAUAUAAAAAACUCAAAGUUGGUAGCAGAGAAAAUGAUAGGCAAUAAGGCAUGAUGAAACAAACAGUUUGUUGCAGAAGAACCAAUCUUCUUCUAAAUCACUGUACUUAGACUGUAGGGUUUUGUUGCGACUGUGGGGUUGCAAUUAUCAUGGUACAGUUUCUGAGACACAUGUUUGUAGUUCUCAAAAACUGACAUAGCUUAGUAGUUUCAUGUUUCGUAAUACUUGUGUGGUUCUGGUUGUUAUGUUGGGUUAUCCCGAACUCCUGAUAUCAACUGUUUCUUAUUAUUGAUAGCAAGAGAUGACAUUGUGCGAUCGAGCUGCAUUAACACGGCUUGUAUAUUGAAAUGCUUUAUUUUUCACCUUCCCGAGUGCUUGUAUUACUGGCUUUCUUAAGAUUUAUUCACUUAUUGCGUUUUCUCUGUCUAAAUUAACCCAUUAGAAACUUAUCUAGCUGUUUUUUUUCUUGCAGGGACUGAUGCAUAUCUUCAUUUGUCUCGUUUGGGAGAUUCACAAGAACCCUUGCCAUGAUUUCAUGAAAUAAGUUCAUGGCAAAAUUAGGGUUUUAGGGAAAUUGUGAUGCAUUUCUAUGGAUUUUGUAAUUUCCAAUAAAUUGGUAUUUGGCUCAUACUACAUUUCAUGUUCUAGCAUCAAUUGUUGCAAAUGGAAAAGUACCCUCCUUUACUGCUUUUAUGAACUGCCAAUUCUCCUUUAACUUUUUUAACAUUUUCUUGCGCACCAAACAUACCAGAGAAGCUUGCAGGCAUGUCUGCACUAUCGGGAUGACAAUGGGGCGGGUGAUUUAUUACACUCACUCAAGCUUACUUUGUUUCGAACUUUAUUUGAUAUUUUCGUACUUCCUCUUUCUAAAUUCAAAUUGACUUGAACUCAUUUCGUCUCGAACUUUAUUUGAUACUUUUGUAUUUUGGCUUCCGACUCUGAU